GAUGAAGAACGUAGCGAAAUGCGAUAAGUAAUGUGAAUUGCAGAAUUCAGUGAAUCAUCGAAUCUUUGAACGCACCUUGCGCCCUUUGGCUAUUCCGAAGGGCAUGCCUGUUUGAGUAUCAUGAACACCUCAACUCUCAUGGCUUGCCAUGAUGAGCUUGGACUUUUGGGGGUCUUGCUGGCCUGUGGUCAGCUCCUCUCAAAUGAAUUAGCCUGCCAGUGUUUGGUGGCAUCACAGGUGUGAUAACUAUCUACGCUUGUGGUUUUCCACCAGGUAACCUUCAGUGAUGAAGGUUCGCUGGGGCUCAUAAACGUCUCUCCUCAGUGAGGACAGCUCUUUGAACGUUUGAUCUCAAAUCAGGUAGGACUACCCGCUGAACUUAAGCAUAUCAAUAACGGAGGA
Molecule: unclassified non-coding RNA, 402 nt
Filed under: soil metagenome
Description: partial contains 5.8S ribosomal RNA, internal transcribed spacer 2, and large subunit ribosomal RNA
Rfam family: 5.8S ribosomal RNA (bases 1-121)
Source: RNAcentral